This 155-nucleotide ribosomal RNA is filed under the name Laminaria hyperborea. Its description in RNAcentral is "partial 18S ribosomal RNA". It matches the Rfam family "Eukaryotic small subunit ribosomal RNA", at positions 1677 to 1831 of the family's 1831-position model. The record is from RNAcentral. Lineage: Eukaryota; Phaeophyceae; Laminariales; Laminariaceae.
CGCACCUACCGAUUGAAUGUUUCGGUGAAGAUUCCGGACUGUGGCUCGCGUGCUUCACGGCGCUCCUGCCGUGGGAAGUUAUCUAAACCUCAACAUUUAGAGGAAGGUGAAGUCGUAACAAGGUUUCCGUAGGUGAACCUGCGGAAGGAUCAUUA